UCGAAAAGUAGUGUCCUUUGGAGCAAAAAGGUACCUUUUGUUUGAAUGGUUGCACCAUUUCGAGUUGAGCCAAUUGGGAGUGGUUGCACCAUUUCGAGUUGAGCCGAAUGGUUUGCAUUGGUUCGGCCGCACCAAUUCAGACCAGUCAGACCAAUCGAGAUGGGCUUCGAGUAAUAAGGGCCCAA
Non-coding RNA from Erythranthe guttata (spotted monkey flower), 185 nucleotides. NCBI's taxonomy places the organism in Eukaryota, Viridiplantae, Streptophyta, Magnoliopsida, Lamiales, Phrymaceae. The record is from RefSeq and is a predicted model, not a curated record.